Molecule: ribosomal RNA, 445 nt
Filed under: uncultured bacterium
Lineage: Bacteria
Description: partial 16S ribosomal RNA
Rfam family: Bacterial small subunit ribosomal RNA
Source: RNAcentral
GUGAGGAAUAUUGCGCAAUGGAGGCAACUCUGACGCAGCCAUGCCGCGUGCAGGAAGAAGGCGCUACGCGUUGUAAACUGCUUUUAACCGGGAAGAAACCCCAGGACGUGUCCUGGGUUGACGGUACCGGAGGAAUAAGCACCGGCUAACUUCGUGCCAGCAGCCGCGGUAAUACGAAGGGUGCAAGCGUUAUCCGGAUUCAUUGGGUUUAAAGGGUGCGUAGGCGGAGCGUUAAGUCAGUGGUGAAAUCCUGCAGCUUAACUGUAGACUUGCCAUUGAUACUGGCGCUCUUGAGUGCGCUUGAAGUGGGCGGAAUGUGCCGUGUAGCGGUGAAAUGCUUAGAUAUGGCACAGAACACCAAUUGCGAAGGCAGCUCACUAAGGCGUUACUGACGCUGAGGCACGAAAGCGUGGGGAUCGAACAGGAUUAGAAACCCCUGUAGUCC